RNAcentral lists this long non-coding RNA (13530 nucleotides) under Capsicum annuum. Its description in RNAcentral is "long non-coding RNA (CANN_LNC019459)". Lineage: Eukaryota; Viridiplantae; Streptophyta; Magnoliopsida; Solanales; Solanaceae. The record is from RNAcentral.
UUUAUUGUCAUAUAUUAUACUGUAAAUUUAUUGAAUGUUUAUAUAUUAGUUCAGUAAAUAUAUUAAAAAUUAAAGUAUUGUGUGUUAAAUGCAGUCUGGUUUAAAAUUAAAACAAAAAAAAAUAGUAGAAGAAAAAAUAGGCAUGGUUACAAUUUCAUACACUGUUACCAUUCAUAUAUAGAUAUUCACACAUUUCACUGCAUACAUAUAGACAUCGUAGUAUUUGCUUCAGAUACAGCAACUUACACAACACAAUCACCACUACACGCACGCAUACUCACAGACACUGCAAAUAACAAUUCCUCUUUUGCACAUAUUUCACAUAGUAAAAAUAAAAAUUAAUGGGGGAGGGAGGGGGGAAUCAGUGAAACGAGAGAGAGAUCGAAAAAAAUAGAAGUUUGACGGAGAAAAGAAAAAUUAUCAGUUGUUCUUUGCUGAGAAAAGGGAAAAUCGUCAGACUGUCUUUGAAUUUUUUGGUGAGUUUUCACCGAAAAUCCGUCAGAAAAUUCUAAAUCCACUCCAUUUUUGUCAAAAUCCCACCCCUGUGGUCGGUUCCAGCGAAUCAACUCGCCGGAAAAACACCCACCGGCUGCCGCCGGUGAAAAUGCUGACCAAAUCAUCCUUUUCACGGAAAAAUGGCAAAAACUUGCCGGUUUCCACCCCCACAAACCCAAAAUCCACUCCCCGCCGGAAUUGGUAACCAGUAGGCACGCCUCCACUAACCGCCACCGCUGCUGCCUCCCUUCACUUCCCCUUUCUCUCCCUUUUCCGUCACCAAAUAAUUCCGGCGAACCUUCCCCCAAAUCGGCAAAACCCGUCUGGAAACAUGGCUUCCGUUCUAUCGAUCCACCGAAGAAAAUCAACCAACAACUCCUUAUAUAUAAUCUCAAACCAUAACCCCUCAAAUCCAAACUCAUAAUAUUUUUUUUCUCCAUAUUCUUCCUACAGAUCUAACAAGAAGAAAAUAUGUUUUGGUGAUAGGAUGUGCAUGUUAUGUAUCUGCCUAAUAGCAGUUGUGAUGUCCAUUUAUUUGUUAUUAUUUGGAUUUGGAGAAUACAUGAAUUGAAAUUGUUGUAUUUGAUUUAUCUUAUAAUAUAUAACUUGAGUUUUGUAUCAAUCUAGAGACAAUAAUGUUAAUUAAACAUAAUAUAUAGGUAGCUUUAUAUAUUUUAUUUAUUUUAUUAUUUUUUGUAAUUAAUAAGGUUUAAAAAUUAUUUGUUAAAUUAAUUAAUCACUUUAAAUGAACUGUGCUUUAGUUUAUCGUCAAAAAUACAUAGCGUUUCGAAUAGAUAAAAUUGUUACGAAUUUAUAAGAUAUAGAUCAAUACCUUCAACACUAGGCAAAUUUUAGGAACGAUUAAAAUUUUUGUUUCAAUAAAGAAUGCGGCGUACACAUCUUUUUGAGAUAUUUUAAAAUUCAAGGAUGCAAUAAUGCACCUUGGUAAAUAUUUUUCUAAAAUUAACUUUCAUUAAUUUAUUUAAUAUAAGAUAAUAGACAAAUUUUAGUAUAAUAAAAAAUGAGCGAAUUUAGGCCUUAAACAAUUUAUCUAAAAUAGUUUAAGUAUAAGUUAAUAAAAGCGACCGUGCUAGAACCACGAAACUUGAAGGGUGCCUCGCACUUUUUUCUCGAUCAACAGAAUUUCUUACCUGAUCUUCUAUUUUCGCAGACCAUAGUAAAGAGUCAUUUUAUUUUGAUUAGGGAUUCAAAAAGGUGACUUGGAAUACCAUAACUCAAUUUCAAGUGGCGACUCUGUAAAUGAUAAAAAUAAUCCCUAUUCAAAAUCGUCACUUUAAUUAGAAAAACCUUUCGACUCGACCUUCCAAGCGAAAAAGGGGUGUGACAUCUCUGGCGACUCUGUUGGGGACUUAAUAAGAAUUCGAGCUUUUGAUAUUAAUUUUACUUGCUUUAAUUAUUUCGAUAUGUGUUUGUUGGCCUAAUAUGCUACUUGUUGCUCAUUUAUCGCUUGGAUAUUGUUGAACUGUAUUUCUAAACUGUCUUCUCCUGCGUACCCCCUUUGAGUCUGUGAAUUAGGAUAGAAGGAAUGCAGCGUAUGCAUCCUACUUUCUUUUUGAGAUAGCCGGAGUGUCAAAGCACCUGGUGAAGGAUUAUAGUCACACAUGUUAGGCGGGGUUCGGAUCGACAAUGAAGGUGAAGUAGCACUGCUACCGUACAAGUUCUCCCUUCUCGACCCGAGUGUCCUCUCGAGUAAGCCAAUCUAGAUACUUAUCCCUAUUAGGCUAAACUUAGAAGAACUGAAACUCAGAAUCUGGUUAUCCCUAUUAGGCUCCGCUCUAUUUGCAUUAUUUACAUUUGAAUUAGCGGGACUCGGCACAGGGGUCGGGUCUGCCUAGAACAGGUGUUCCUUUUUAUAAAUGACCAACAUGUGCAUCUUACGGGCUUUUGAUAUUUAUUUGGAACGCCAUUUGAUUCUUAGCAGGCUUUAGGAAACUUGGUGAAACGCAAGAGAGUAUUUUUUCCUCAAAUUUAAAGAAUCAUUUUUCAAAAAAAUUUAAAAAUAUAUAUAGUUUUUAAGGUUUUCAUGAACUACGAGGGUCUGAUUCUCACUCUUUAGUGAAAUACAUAGGAAAUCCUUCCCAGUAUACCACCCUGUCUUUUGAAAAAUUAUUCAUAGAUUUAUUAGGGAAUAUGUUGAAAAUAUGAUUACUUUCAUAAUUAUUUUUCUUAUCCUCAAGUUCAAUUUNNNNNNNNNNUAUAUAUAUCUUAAUAGCCCUGAAUCUGUAGGGAUCAUGAGGCUAAGUUUUACAAAACAAUAUACAUAUAAAUCUUAACAGCCGUGAACCUUUAGGGGUUUUGAGGCUGAGUUUUGUACGACAUAAUUUUCAUGAACUACGCACACCUAAUUCUCAUAUUUAAUGAGAUACGUUUUCAGUCCUCAAUGGAUUCGGUGAUCUUAAAAAAUAGUUGUCUUUCCUUCUAAUUAAAAAAAAAGUAUUUUCAAAAGUAAAAAAUAUUAUUUAAUAAAGUCAAAAAUAAAUAAUAAAAAAAUUAUUUAUCAUUAUUUAAAUAAUUAAAAAAAAUAUGUAUCUUCGUAUCUCUAAUUUUCAAGAACUACGCACACCCGAUUCUCAUUUUAAUGAGAUACGUAGGCGUCCUUCUAGGGUUCGAUUAUCUUUAUAAAAAGAAGAUAAAAGAAAGAGUUUUUGAAAAGUGUUGCAUUCUAACACCUUUGUUAUUUCUUAUUCAUUUAGUUUAAGGUGGUUGGUUAUUGGCCUUUAGGGUGGUCCUUCAUAUUACAUCAAGUCGAGGGACGAGAGUCAUGUCCAGCAAGAAUAGAAAGAGUGACAUCAUAGAUCAAACAAAGAGUCAGGAAAAUGAGAUCUUAAAGCAAGAGAUUGUGAGUUUAAGGCAAUAAAUAAUGGAAAUGUAUCGAGCGUGGGCCAGUGGGCUGCCUCCUCCCCCAGUUUCCACUACUGACCCUACAAAUACCUUGAGUUUUUCACCAAAAUUGCAAGGUCAAUUUUCUGCUGUCAGUUAUGAGCCACAACAUGCCUCAAAAUCUACUCCAAGCCAAAAGCAUCCCAAUGUUUGCAUCGCUCAUUCUCUAGCUCUUCAGUAUAAAUCUACCACAUCGAUAGCAUCACCUAUAGUUUCCACUUCUAUUGCUCAACCCUCUACUGAGGUUUCCACCUUGGCUUUUCAUGCAUAAAUUAUGCUUCCUCAAUCUGCUAGUGAGUCGAUGUUCAAUACUCUUGAUGAUCACUAUUAUACUCCUGAGCCCACAUCUAUGUUAAUUGGGCCAUCAAAAUUUCUUAAUAAAGAGUCUGACAAGGCAGAAGAGAAAGAGAAAAUGGCUAAGAAAAUGAAGAUCACAUAAAAGGCUAUGAAAAAUUCUCAGGGAAUUGCAAAUUAUGAAGAUGUUGCAUACAAAAACUGAGGCAUGUCUUCAAGUGUUAACCUUUCUCCAAGUCUUGAGAUAUCAAAAUUUAAGGAACAUGAUGGGUAUGAGGAUUCUGUAAAAUACUUGGGAUGAUGUUACCAUCAGUUGAGAGGGACUGAAGGGAAGAAGAAGAAGAAAAACGUACCUAUUAUCGUUAUAGGGGAAAAGCAAAGCUCAAGAGGUCCAACUCAGCAACAUUGUCAAUCUCUAUUCUGAGCUUACACAUCAAAUCCACAUGCUCACCUGCAACAACGUUCCUCUUUGCAAAAUCCCAAAUAUUUCAUUCCACUUCCUCAGCAUCAUUUGAACAAUGCACAGUUGUAUGCUCAUCCAUUUUCUUAUCCACAAUGGCAUGCACCGGCUCUUCAACAUCAUCCUCGACCCCCACAUAUUUAUCAAGGAACUUCUAAGUUCAAGUUUUAAUCGAGGCCGGAGUUUGCAAAGAGGAGAAAGACAGAGAAUAAUUUUACACCAAUUAAAGAGUCGUAUGCCAAUUUAUUCCAUAGAUUAAGAAAGUUGGGCAUAAUCACUCCUCUCCUUGAGUGUACUCCUGAUCCACAUUGGAGAAAUUUUGAUUCUCAUGUACGAUGUACAUAUCAUUCUGAUAUUCAGGGUCACAGUAUUGAGGAUUGUUGUGCUUUGAAAAGAGAAAUAGAAAGAAUGAUUCAAGAAAUAUUGAUUGUAGUCCAAAACAUUGAUACUACGAGUGUCACACAGAAUCCUUCACCAAUACACGGUAAUGCACAAUAUAUGGGAAACAAUGAGUUAAGCAUGGGGAUCCAGAACUUAUUUGUUGAAGGAAAUAUGUUGGACAGUGGUGGAAGAUUUAGUCAUGCUGAUUUCCAAACUAGUGGCUAAGAUGUCAAGCUUAAUAAUUAGGAAGCCACUCCUCUCCCUACUAUGAAGGAGUCUUGGUAGUUUGUUUGUUUGUCUUUCUGUAAUUUGAAUCGUUCUAGGAUUGUAAUUCAAAUUUUUACCUUGGUAUUUUAGGUUAAAACUUUGUCUAUCUUUGUUUUUUAAUGCAACAUAAUUUUACUUUGUUUUAUUUUAUGUCUAAUAUUUAUUUAUUUAUUUUUUAUUAUACAGUUCUUUCUAUAUUGAUUAUAAUGAUACGACAUGCAUGAAGAAUUAUCAACCAGAUUUUGAAACCCAAUCUAAUUAUGAAAUAUUAAAUAAAGAGGUUGAAUACGAUGAAGAGGAAGUAUUUGAGGAAAUAAGCAAAGAUUUUGAAUAGUUUGAAAAUAAGUCAAAUCCCAAUUUGGAUGAAACUGAGGCGAUCAAUUUAGGAGACAUGAAAAUAUUAGGAAGACUAAGAUAAUUGUACAUUCUCAAACACAAUAAAAGAAAGAUAUAAUUGAAGCUUUGCUUGAGCACAAAGACAUCUUUGCGUGGUCUUAUGAUGAUAUGCCCGAUUUGAGCACUGAUUUGGUAGUUCAUAAGUUGUAAUUGAUCUUACUUUCCCUCCUGUCAAGCAAAAGUUAAGAAAGCUUAAAACCGACAAGAGUGUAAAAAUCAAAGAGGAAAUCACAAAGCAGCUUGAGGGUAAAGUCAUUCGAGUGGCCCAAUAUCCUGCUUGGUUGGCAACAAAGUUCGGAUGUGUAUUGAUUAUCGUGAUCUAAAUAAAACAAGUCCAAAAGAUGAUUUUCCACUUUCCAAUAUCCAUAUUUUAUUGGAUAAUUGUUCCAAACACGAUCUUACAUCUUUUGUGAAUUAUUACGCGGGGUACCACCAUAUCAUUAUGGAUCCAGAAGAUGCAAAAAAGACAUCAUUUAUCACGUCAUGGGGGACAUAUCGUUAUCGAGUUAUGCCAUUCAGACUAAAGAAUGCUGGGGCAACUUACAUAAGGGCAAUGACCACAAUGUUUCAUGACAUGAUGCACAAAGGGAUUAAAGUUUAUGUGGACGACGUGAUCAUUAAAUCAAAAAAGCAGUCUGACCAUGUCAAAAAUCUAAGAAAAAUCUUUGAAAGUCUUCGAAGAAGCCUAUACCCACAGGUAUACUCGCGAAAUGGCAGAUGCUACUCACAGAGUUUGAUAUUAUCUAUGUAAUGCGAACUGCAAUGAAAGCUCAAGCCUUAGUAAAUCAUUUGGUUGAAAAUCCAGUUGAUGAAGAGUAUGAGCCAUUGAAAACUUACUUUUCGGAUGAAGAGGUAUUGUGUGUUGAUGAAAUUAUUUUUGAUGAUUGCCACUCAGGUUGGAAGUUAUUCUUCAAUGAAUCUUCUAAUGUAAAAGGAGUAGGGAUAGGGGCAGAUUCUAUUUCUGAAUUGAGAUAAUACUAUCUUGUAACAGCCCAACUUUGAUUCUACUAUGUCAAUAAUAUGGCAGAAUACGAAGCUUGCAUUCUGGGUUUGAGACUAGCUAUUGACAUGGGAAUCCAAGAACUAUUGGUGUUAGGAGAGUCAGAUUUGUUAGUCCACCAUAUAAAAGGAGAUUAGGAGACUCGUGAUUCGAAACUCCUACUAUAUUGAGGUUCUUUGCAAGAUCUUUGUCAACGAGAUUUGUAUCAGUAAAGUUCAAACAUAUUCCAAAGCUCAUAAUGAGAUUGUUGAUGCUUUAGCGACCUUAUCUUCGAUGCUCCAACAUUUUGACAACACUCAUAUUGACCCCUUGCAUAUACAGAUUCGUGAUCAAUAUGCAUAUUGCAAUGUGGUUGAGGAAGAAUUUAAAAGGGAGCCGUGGUUUUAUGACAUCAAAGAAUAUAUUCAGGUUGGAAAAUAUCUAAUACAUACUGAUGGUAACCAAAAGUGAUGUAAUCCGAUGACUGACUCGUGAGUUUUUCUUGAGUAGGGAAAAGUUGUAUAAGAGGACUCCAGAUUUGGGACUUUUGAGGUGUGUAGAUGCUAAAAAAACUUCAAAAAUCAUGACUGAAGUACAUUCUGGAAUUUGUGGACCGCAUAUGAAUAGAUAUGUUUUGGCAAAUAAAAUACUUCGAGCAGGUUACUAUUGGAUUACUAUGGAGCGAGAUUCCAUCUGCUUCAUUUGUAAAUUUCAUGAAUGCCAGGUACAUGGGGACUUGAUACAUCCUCCAUCUGAGUUGCAUACAAUUACUGCUCCAUUGCCUUUUGUGGCUUGGGGAAUGGACAUAAUUGGACCAAUUGAACCAAAGACCUCGAAUGGACAUAAGUUUAUCUUGGUGGCCAUUGAUUAUUUCAUGAAGUGGGUGGAAACAAUGACUUUCAAGUCAGUGACCAAGAAAGUGAUGGUUGAUUUUGUUCACUCCAACGUCAUUUAUUAGUUUGGCAUUUCAAAGAUAAUUGUCACGGAUAAUGUUGCAAAUCUCAACAGUCACUUGAUGUAAGAAAUAUGAAAAUAAUUUUAAGAUUAUACAUCGGAAUUUAACUCCUUAUCGCCCAAAGGUAAACGAGGUUGUAGAAGCUGCCAAUAAGAACUUAAAAAAAAUACCCCGCAAGAUGGUGCAAGGUUCCCGACAAUGGUAUAAAAAGUUACCUUUUGCUCUAUUGGGUUAUCGUACUACAGUUCAGACUUCAAUUGGUGCAACUCCUUAUUCGUUGGUAUACGGAACUGAAGCAGUUAUAUAUGAAGAGAUUGAAAUUCCAUCUCUCUGAGUAGUUUUGAAAAUCAAAAUUGAUGAUGAUCAAUGGGUCAGGACUCGAUUGGAGUAAUUAAGCCUGAUUGAUAAAAAAAAUUAACGUCAGUAUGUCAUGGACAACUGUACCAGGAGAGAAUAGCAUAGGAAUAUAACAGAAAGGUGCAUCACAGACAUUUUGAAGAUGGUCAAUUAGUACUAAAACGCAUCAUUCCCCAUCAGAUUGAAGCCAAAGACAAGUUUUCUCCUAAUUGGCAAGGACCGUUCAUGGUAAAGAAAGUAUUACCUAAUGGUGCAUUAUAUCUGACUGAUGUAGAAGGCAAAAUGAAAGAAAUGUCGGUCAAUGUUGAUGCAGUUAAGAGAUAUUAUAUAUGAUAUUCAUGUAUAAUUAUGUCAUGUAUGUUUUGUACUUCAAUUUUAAAAAAGAUUGAAAUGAUGAAGGCGUUUUGUUCUACUAUCCAAAUAUUAAGUCAACCCUCGCUUACCCCUUUGAGCUUAGAUUCAACUUUUCUUUCAUAACCCUCUUUUGGAAUCAAUUAAAGUCAAAAGUUCAAAAUGAAAAAAUGAAAAUGAUGAUGAUAAAAAAAAAGAAAAAGAAAAAUGAAAAAUGAAAAAAAAUGGAAAAAAUGAUGAUGAAAAAAAAAUCAAUCAAAAAAUCAAAAUCAAGCAAAAGAAUGAUUCUCCUGAACUACGUUUGACCUGAUUCUUGCUAUAACAAGAUACGUAGGCAGCCCUACUCUGGGGUUCGGUCCAACCAAAAGAAAAUUCAAGUUACCCAGAAUGAAAUAAAACUGGGACAAAAGUUUAUUUUCUCAUAAAAUUGAUUUCAAAAGUUGUAUGUUUUACUCAAUGUUAUGUAAAUUUUUUAGCCUCAUGCCUCCCCUUUUUUCUAACCUUUUUCAAAAGCCAAGUUACAAUCAAAGAAAUACCUUCAAAUCGAUCUUUGAGAAUGUCAAGGCUAAACAUAUUGUGGGUGCAUGAUAUUUCGUGUGUUGGGCAUUAUUUUCGAAAAUAAAAAAUAAAAAAUAAUAAUAAAAAUAAAAAUGAGAGUCACAUUUGUGAAAAUCUUUUUGGGCACCAUAAGGCGACGGUGAACUAAGAAAGAAAUGAAAAUAAGAUAGGCUCGUUGGCAAAAACCCAUUGAGGUGCCACUAGCCGAAGGAGGAUUGUGAUCUAGAGGGAGCAUAUUCAAGAUUGAUUCCAUUUCAAACUCAAUAAGUGGAGAAAUUUAUAAUUAUUAGUGUGGGUAGAUUAGGCUGUCUAAUUCAAAAUGCAUGUCAUAAUUGUUGGAAUUGGCUACCACACCCAAAUAAGUUUUAUUCUGUUGUUUCGAAAAAGAGAUUCCUAUUGUCUUUUCCUUUUCUUUUUAUUUUAUUUCUAUUUUUGAUUUUUUUUGGGGGAGGAGGGUGUCAUCAAAUACAAAUUAUUGUCAUCUUUCGCGUGUCUUUGAGUCAAUUUCAUGUCAAGUCAAAGUGAGAAAGGACUUCAAAACUUGUUACCAACUCCUUCAAUGGUACAAAGCAAGACAAAGGGUCGACACAUAAAGACAAGUUUCAAAGUAAAGUAAGGUACCUAGAAUGAUUGUGAUCAGACAGUUUUAAACUCGUCGAAAGAUAAAAGGUGUAUUGGAAGCUGAACUCGGAGGCAUCAUACAUGAGAGAUAUAAUUCAAAUAAAAAUUUUUAGUAGUCCGAAUUCGGGGUCAGAAGUACGACGAGUCAACGAACAUUUAUCAAGAAUUUGAAAGCAGUUGAGCAUGGAAAGUGCAUGAGCAGUCACCUCAAAAGUCGAAUGCCACAAAUCAACCACCUGUUUUAAACUCACAAGUUUUCUUUGUAUAAAACAGGAACAAUUGCUACCUUCGAAUCGAAGACUUCAAAGCGCAAAUAUGCAGGGUACAAUUCCUCGUUUCUGCAAAUGUAAGAGGCAAUGUUGAUGUACAGGUUUGGCAAUCACAAUCAUGGUAAAACUCGUCAUCUUGGACCCCUAAGAGAUACAUUCUCUAAUUUGGGUCUUUCAUGUCUCAUGGCUAGGAGGUGCACUUGCUAAUUUUAACUGAUAAUCCUAAAAGAUGCAUUUUUAGUAAGAAUCUUUCACUUUUAUUCUUAAGAGACAGACUUGUUGGUCUCAGUCAUUCAAUUUUAUCCUCAAGAGGUGCAUUUGUUUAUCGGAAUCUUAAUUCAUCAUUGCACUAUGCAUCAUUGCAAAUAGUUGUGACUGGGUUUGAUACCCGCAAAAGCUUUUGAUGAUAAACUAGGCAAAAAAAAAUUAAUUCCUAUUAUUUGAAAUUUCACUUUAGGACUUUCCUAGAAAAUGACACUUUAUUUUUCUGAAAAAUGAAGCUUUCUUUAUAAUAAUCUUUGUGUGGGAUAAUUUUUAUUCUAGUUUUUAUUUCAAUUUUAGGAGCCCGCCUGAAGAACAGGGUGAAGAAAUAACAAACCAGGAGCCCACCUGAAGAAUAUGGUGAAAAAAUAACAAGUCAAGAGCCCAUCCGAAGAACAGGAUGAAGAAAUUGUAAGUCAAGGAGCCUGCCUGAAGAACAGGGUGAAGAAAAGUAAGUCAGGAGCCCGCCUGAAAAACAGGGUGAUGGAAAGUAAGUGCAGGAGCCCGCCUGAAGAACAGAGUGAAGAAAAGUAAGUGUAGGAGCCCGCCUGAAUAAUAGAGUGAAGGAAAAAUAAUAAGUCAGGAGCCCGCCUGAAGAACAGGGUGAAGAAGUAACAAACCAGGAGCCCUCCUGAAGAACAGGGUGAAGAGAAAAAAGUAAGCCAAGAGCCUGCUUAAAGAAUAGGGUGAAUUUUCAAGUUCAAGUCAUGAAGAUCCGAAUCAAAAUUUCAGAGAAAUUGCAUUUUGCAUUUUUAUUUUUUAUUUUUGUUAGUCAUUUGAAUGUAAAAAAGCAGAAGUCGUUAACCGAAAACUCAACGGAAUCUCACUCGACGCCUAACUCAUUCUCUCACCAUGUUACCUUUGAACUACUCGUGACCGGAUUUUCUUAUAACCCGGGAUAGGUAGGAGGUCCAAAAUAUUUUUAUUUUUCUUUAAUUUUAAUUUUAUUUUAUCUUUACCUUUCAUAUAAUCGGAGGGUCAAAAAUCAUAUCUUGUCUACUUCUUUUAUGAAAACUCUUCAAGAUUCCACACAAAGAGGGACAAAAAUGUAGACACGUGAUUUUUGAUCCUCCACGAAUUUUAACUUAUUUUUCGAUAUUAAAUAUUUAUAUUUGAUUCUAUAUUAUUUGAAUUCUUAUUUUUAUUUUUAAUAAAUUUUUAAUUUAAAAAUAAAUAACUAAAUAAAGUUAAUUUUGAAAUAUUUUAUUUUAUUUUUAUUCUAAUUCUAAAAAAUAAUACAAAAAUUCAGAUAUAUAUUCAUUUUUUAAAUUUUUAAUAAAUAAAUUAGUAGUUUUUAGUACUAUCUUAUUAUAUUUAUUUUUUGGCAAUUUAUGAACUUUUAUUGUAUUUCUUUAAAUAUAAAAUUAAUUAUUUAUAUUUAUUAUUUUAUUAUUUAUUUAUUUAUUAUUAUUAUUUUCUAUAAUUAAAUUUUUAAAAAAAUCAAAUUCAAAAUAAUUAGUAACUGUUCACUCACACUUUUCCCCCAAAAGUAAGGACUUCUUCCAUUCCAGAAUAGAUAUACGGACAUUCUGUCUACACUGUAUCAGAUACUGAGAAAAACACAUAAACAGACACUGAGAAAGAAAACAUCAAACAAAAAAAGAGAAAAUCAAGAGUGAACAUCAAUAUAAAAUCAAACAAAAGAGAGUGAAGUCGAAUCUAGAUCACGUUCAAGUUUCCGAAAAUGAUAUUCAAAGUUUUUGCUUCAGAUCGUCAACAGGUUUUAUUCUACUUUGUAUUAUUCACUUUAUGAAUUUUUAUAGUGAAUUUAAAUCAUGUUCAAAUUUAUGUGAAUGAUUAUAUUUGAUUACGCGAAUCUUUAUCGUCAUAUAUUAUACUGUAAAUUUAUUGAAUAUUUAUAUAUUUGUUCAGUAAAUAUAUUAAAAAUUUAAAGAUUGUGUGUUACAUGUAGUCUGGUUUAAAAUUUAAAAAAUAAACAAAAUAGAAGGAAAAAUAGGCACGGUUACAAUCCCAUAUACUGUUACCAUUCAUAUGUACACAGAUAUUCACACAUUUCACUGCACACAUAUAGACAUCACAGUAUUUGCUUCAGAUACAGCAACUUACACAACACAAUCACCACUACACGUACGCAUACUCACAGACACUUCAAAUAGCGAUUUCUCUUUUGCACAGAUUUCACACAGUGAAAUAAAAAUGAACAGGAGAGGGGAAAAAUCAGUGAAACAAGAGAGAGAGAAAAAAAUAGAAGUUUGACGAAGAAAAGAAAAAUUGUCAGUUGUUCUUAGAUGAGAAAAAGGAAAAUCGUCAAUCUGUCUUUGAAUUUUUCGGCGAGUUUCUCACCGAAAAUCCGUCAGAAAAUUCACCAUCACCUAAAUUCACUCCAUUUUGGUCAAAAUUCCACCCUUGUGUUCGGUUUUUGGAGAAUCAACUCACCGAAAAAACACCCACCCGUUGCCGCCGGCAAAAAUACCGACCAAAUCAUCCUUUUCGCAGAAAAAUAGUGAAAACCCGCCGGUUUCCACCCCCACAAACCAAAAAUCCACUCCCCGCUGGAAUUGGUAGCCGGCAGGCGCGCCUCCACCAGCCGCCACCGCUGCUGCCUUUCUUCACCGCCCCGUUCUCUCUCUUUUCCAUCACCAAAUAAUUCUGGCAAACCUUCCCCCAAAUCGGCAAAACCCACCGGGAAACAUGGCUGCCGUUCCAUCGAUCCACCGGAGAAAAUUAACCAACAACUCCUUAUAUAUAAUCCAAACCAUAACCCCUCAAAUCCAAACUCAUAAUAUGUUUUUUUCCAUAUUCUUCCUACAGAUCUAACAAGAAGAAAAUAUAUUGGGGUGAUAGGAUAUGCACGUUAUGUGUCUGCCUAAUAGCAGUUGUGGUGUCCAUUUUUUUAUUAUUAUUUGGAUUUGGAGAAUACAUGAAUUGAAAUUUUUGUAUUUGAUUUAUCUUAAAAUAUAUAACUUGAGUUUUGUAUCAAUCUAGAGACUAGACUAUUAAUUUAGCAUAAUAUAUAGGUAGCUUUAUAUAUUUUUAUUUAUUUUAUUAUUUCAUUAUUUUUAUUUUUUUUGUAAUUAAUAAGGUUUGAAAAUUAUUUGUUAAAUUAAUUAAUUACUUUAAAUCAACUUUGCUUUAAUUUAUUGUCAAGAAUAAAUAGCAUUUCGAAUAGAUAAAAUUGUUACGAGUUUAUAAGAUAUAGAUCAAUACCUUCAACACUAGGCAAAUUUUAGGAACGAUUAAAAUUUUUGUUUCAAUAAAGAAUGCGGUGUACGCAUCUUUUCGAGACAUUUUAAAAUUCAAGGAUGCAAUAAUGCACCUUGGCAAAUAUUUUUUUAAAAUUAACUUUCAUUAAUUUAUUUAAUAUAAGAUAAUAGAUAAGUUUUAGUAUAAUAAAAAAUGAGCAAAUUUAGGCCUUAAAUAAUUUAUCAAAAAUAGUUUAAGUUAAGUAUAAGUUAAUAAAAGCAACCGUGCUAGAACCACGGAACUUGAGGGGUGCCUCACACCUUCUCCUCAGUCAAUAAAAUUUCUUACCCGAUCUGUUUUCGCAGAUCAUAAUAAAGAGUCAUUUCCUUUUGAUUAGGGAUUCAAAAAGGUGACCUGGAACACCAUAACUCAAUUCCAAGUGGUGACUCUAUAAAUGAUAAAAAUAAUCCCUAUGCAAAACCGUCAUUUUAAUGGGAAAAACCCUUUGACUCGACCUUCCGAGCGAAAAAGGGGUUUGACAUCCUUCAUUAAAAGACUCUCCUUUAGACAAAACUGUCUUUUCACUAUUUUCAUCAAUUUAUUAUUUAAUUAUUUUUAUUAUAUUAAUUAAACUCCUAAAAUAUAUGAGACUCCUAAAAUAUGAAAGAAAAAUCAAUUAAUAUUUUCAUUCGUACAGGUUACAUAUUUUAAAAAAGAAAAGAUUAUGUAUAGUUAAACAAAAACAGGGAAACACUUUUACUUUUUUGAAAAAUAUUUUUUCCUCUUUUGCCACUAUGUCCAUAAGUGUAAUUUUCGAUUGAAUUCCUUGAAGAAACUUGAG